This 381-nucleotide unclassified non-coding RNA is filed under the name uncultured Alphaproteobacteria bacterium. RNAcentral describes it as "contains 16S-23S intergenic spacer region". Lineage: Bacteria; Pseudomonadati; Pseudomonadota; Alphaproteobacteria. The record is from RNAcentral.
UCCGGCUUGUCACCGGCGGUUUCUUUAGAGUGCCCAGCGUUACCCGAUGGCAACUAAAGAUAGGGGUUGCGCUCGUUGCGGGACUUAACCCAACAUCUCACGACACGAGCUGGCGACAGCCAUGCAGCACCUGUGUGGGGCCCAGCCGAACUGAAGGGACCAGUCGCCCGGUCCCAUAACCCCCAUGUCAAGAGCUGGUAAGGUUCUGCGCGUUGCGUCGAAUUAAACCACAUGCUCCACCGCUUGUGCGGGCCCCUGUCAAUUCCUUUGAGUUUUAAUCUUGCGACCGUACUCCCCAGGCGGAAUGCUUAAUGCGUUAGCUGCGCCACCGACGGGCAAGCCCGCCAACGGCUGGCAUUCAUCGUUUACGGCGUGGACUAC